AAUAUUGGACAAUGGGCGCAAGCCUGAACCAGCCAUGCCGCGUGAAGGAUGAAGGUCCUCUGGAUUGUAAACUUCUUUUAUAUGGGACGAAACCCGGGCAUUCCUGCCCGAUUGACGGUACCAUAGAAAUAAGCACCGGCUAACUCCGUGCCAGCAGCCGCGGUAAUACGGAGGGUGCAAGCGUUAUCCGGAUUCACUGGGUUUAAAGGGUGCGUAGGAGGGUAGGUAAGUCAGUGGUGAAAUCUCCGGGCUCAACUCGGAAACUGCCGUUGAUACUAUCUGUCUUGAAUACCGUGGAGGUGAGCGGAAUAUGUCAUGUAGCGGUGAAAUGCUUAGAUAUGACAUAGAACACCGAUUGCGAAGGCAGCUCACUACACGAAUAUUGACUCUGAGGCACGAAAGCGUGGGGAUC
This 412-nucleotide ribosomal RNA is filed under the name uncultured bacterium. Its description in RNAcentral is "bacterial SSU rRNA". It matches the Rfam family "Bacterial small subunit ribosomal RNA", at positions 360 to 769 of the family's 1533-position model. The record is from RNAcentral.